This 22-nucleotide non-coding RNA is filed under the name Arabidopsis thaliana (thale cress). The record is from RNAcentral. Lineage: Eukaryota; Viridiplantae; Streptophyta; Magnoliopsida; Brassicales; Brassicaceae.
UGCGCUGGAUUAUGACUGAACG